Long non-coding RNA from Lycium ferocissimum, 420 nucleotides. RefSeq lists it as uncharacterized. The record is from RefSeq and is a predicted model, not a curated record. The transcript is spliced from 3 exons. NCBI's taxonomy places the organism in Eukaryota, Viridiplantae, Streptophyta, Magnoliopsida, Solanales, Solanaceae.
UGACAAUGUUGUUAAUGUUAAGGCAAGAAAAUUGCUAAAGCCAAACGUAAUGUGGAUGAGGAUGAUGAUGAAAAGGUAUCUAAAUUUUUGGUUACCAAGCACCCUGCUGUGGCACCAUCUAUGUGUAGAUACACGAAUGUUAAUGUAAUGCAAGAUAUUAGAGGCAAACUAACAGAUCCACAGAUGGAUAUGUUUAGGAAUUCUUGUUUUGUCCUGUAGAUUUGAGGAAGUUGUGCCAACACCCCAUGAGUUGGAAACUCUUAAAUUGCCUCCUGUUGCACAUGACAUACCAGACGUCAAACAUGGAGUUGAUGGUGUACAUGAUAUUGAUUUGGUAGACGAUGAUUACGAUGAUUUUAGUACCACACCACCGCAUCUGUCCAGUGGCAAACAGCAACAAAGGAGUGCCAAUUCUGAUUC